AAAAAAAAAAAAAAAGCCUGUUCUAGAAACCUGUGGUGAUGUAGAUGUGUGGGGACCCUGGGGCCUCUGAAGGCCUCGUCUCGGGAUGACAAGCUGGCAGUGUGCCUAUAGAGCUCCCAUGGGUAUCUUGCUUUCCCAUGAGGAGGCAUUAGUUUGUCACUUUCCGUGCGAAUUGGCGAUGUGGUUAGUGUUUCUAAGCUGCUACUUGCUGUGUAUCUGUUCACGCUGCAGAGCUGCCAAACGGAGGCCCGAAGAAAAAGAACCUGAAAAAGUAAAUCCACAGAUUUCUGAUGAAAAAGACGAGGAUGAAAAGGAGGAGAAGAGACGCAAAACGACCCCCAAAGAACCGUAAGAAUUUAUUCUUGACAUUAUCCAAAGCAGAUGGUAAUGUUAAAAUGAUGGUUCUAGAACAAAAGGGAAGGGGUUUUAGUAAUUGCCAGAGCAACCUUAGGCUCAUUUUGGAUCGGGUUGGUGAACAUAGGACCAAGGUGCGUCAGGCAGGAUGCCCCUGCGGUGAAGAGCCAC
RNAcentral lists this small RNA (525 nucleotides) under Pan troglodytes (chimpanzee). RNAcentral's name for it is "retained intron". The record is from RNAcentral. Lineage: Eukaryota; Metazoa; Chordata; Mammalia; Primates; Hominidae.